RNAcentral lists this ribosomal RNA (465 nucleotides) under Vreelandella stevensii. RNAcentral's name for it is "partial 16S ribosomal RNA". It matches the Rfam family "Bacterial small subunit ribosomal RNA", at positions 338 to 795 of the family's 1533-position model. The record is from RNAcentral. Lineage: Bacteria; Pseudomonadati; Pseudomonadota; Gammaproteobacteria; Oceanospirillales; Halomonadaceae.
CCUAUGGGUGGCUGCAGUGGGGAAUAUUGGACAAUGGGGGGAACCCUGAUCCAGCCAUGCCGCGUGUGUGAAGAAGGCCCUCGGGUUGUAAAGCACUUUCAGUGAGGAAGAACGCCUGGUGGUUAAUACCCAUCAGGAAAGACAUCACUCACAGAAGAAGCACCGGCUAACUCCGUGCCAGCAGCCGCGGUAAUACGGAGGGUGCGAGCGUUAAUCGGAAUUACUGGGCGUAAAGCGCGCGUAGGUGGCUUGAUAAGCCGGUUGUGAAAGCCCCGGGCUCAACCUGGGAACGGCAUCCGGAACUGUCAAGCUAGAGGGCAGGAGAGGAAGGUAGAAUUCCCGGUGUAGCGGUGAAAUGCGUAGAGAUCGGGAGGAAUACCAGUGGCGAAGGCGGCCUUCUGGACUGACACUGAAACUGAGGUGCGAAAGCGUGGGUAGCAAACAGGACUAGAUACCCUAGUAGUC